RNAcentral lists this ribosomal RNA (234 nucleotides) under uncultured bacterium. RNAcentral's name for it is "partial 16S ribosomal RNA". It matches the Rfam family "Bacterial small subunit ribosomal RNA", at positions 100 to 334 of the family's 1533-position model. The record is from RNAcentral.
CGGGACGGGUGAGUAAUGUCUGGGAAACUGCCUGAUGGAGGGGGAUAACUACUGGAAACGGUAGCUAAUACCGCAUAACGUCGCAAGACCAAAGAGGGGGACCGUUCGGGCCUCUUGCCAUCGGAUGUGCCCAGAUGGGAUUAGCUAGUAGGUGGGGUAACGGCUCACCUAGGCGGCGAUCCCUAGCUGGUCUGAGAGGAUGACCAGCCACACUGGAACUGAGACACGGUCCAG